GACGAACGCUGGCGGCGCGCUUAACACAUGCAAGUCGAGCGAGAACCAGACCUUCGGGUCUGGGGACAGCGGCGAACGGGUGAGUAACACGUGGGUAAUCAACCCUCGGUACUGGGAUAGCCCGGGGAAACCCGGAUUAAUACCGGAUGGCCCUUCGGAUCUUCGGUUCUGAAGGAAAAGGUAGCUUCGGCCUCCGACCGAGGACGAGCCCGCGGCGGAUUAGCUUGUUGGUGGGGUAACGGCCUACCAAGGCGGCGAUCCGUAGCUGGUCUGAGAGGACGAUCAGCCACACUGGGACUGAGACACGGCCCAGACUUCUACGGAAGGCAGCAGUGGGGAAUCUUGCGCUAAUGCGGGAAACCGUGACGCAGCGACGCCGCGUGAGGGAAGAAGGCCUUCGGGUUGUAAACCUCUUUCAGGAGGGACGAAGCUACUCGGGUUAAUAGCCCAGAGGGUGACGGUACCUUCAGAAGAAGCCCCGGCUAACUACGUGCCAGCCGCCGCAGUAA
This 509-nucleotide ribosomal RNA is filed under the name uncultured bacterium. RNAcentral's name for it is "partial 16S ribosomal RNA". It matches the Rfam family "Bacterial small subunit ribosomal RNA", at positions 28 to 523 of the family's 1533-position model. The record is from RNAcentral.